Molecule: ribosomal RNA, 253 nt
Filed under: uncultured bacterium
Lineage: Bacteria
Description: partial 16S ribosomal RNA
Rfam family: Bacterial small subunit ribosomal RNA
Source: RNAcentral
UACGUAGGGGGCGAGCGUUGUCCGGAAUCAUUGGGCGUAAAGAGCGUGUAGGUGGACUGGCAGGUCUGGUGUGAAAGCCCGGGGCUCAACCCCGGAGGGUCACUGGAAACCAACAGUCUUGAGUCCGGAAGAGGAGAGUGGAAUUCCUGGUGUAGCGGUGGAAUGCGCAGAUAUCAGGAGGAACACCAAUGGCGAAGGCAGCUCUCUGGUACGUGACUGACACUGAGACGCGAAAGCGUGGGGAGCGAACAGG